CUUAAAAAAUCCGUCGACUUUUAAAAUCGUGAGGGUUCAAGUCCCUCUAUCCCCA
Molecule: transfer RNA, 55 nt
Filed under: Heterophyllaea pustulata
Lineage: Eukaryota; Viridiplantae; Streptophyta; Magnoliopsida; Gentianales; Rubiaceae
Description: tRNA-Leu
Source: RNAcentral